Sus scrofa (pig) is the source of this 1209-nucleotide long non-coding RNA. RefSeq lists it as uncharacterized. The record is from RefSeq and is a predicted model, not a curated record. NCBI's taxonomy places the organism in Eukaryota, Metazoa, Chordata, Mammalia, Artiodactyla, Suidae.
GUGGGGAUCAGCUCCGUUCCGAUCUUGGAGCUCUUGUGUUUCUGCUGCUUUCCGUUAAGCACUGGGGUCUCUGCAGCUCUUAGUCCCACGUUGGCCACCAUAGAGGUUCAGAGCACCUAAGACGGAGCCCUAAGACCCUCAGCUCAGCUCCUCUCAUGAGCACACCAAAAUCACAACUGUCUGCAGAACAACCAUCAUGGAAAAAACCUGGAACCUACCAGAAACGAUCUCCUAUAACUAAAUACCUAAAGAAGGAACCACAAUGAGACAGCAAGAUUUUACAACAUGGCAAACCUGAGUACAUCUAACUGGGGCUCAGGUGGGCAGAUUGAGGCAGAGGGAAUGAAUGCCAUCCCUCGUUUCUCUUCCCACACUGCUCCUUCAUCAGCUGCCCCCUGUGACUUCCAGAUGGAUAGUGUAUGUAAACCUGGCCCUACAGCAAGAUUUCAAUGCUGGCUCCAACAUUCAAUAGCUCUCCUUUUGGCCAGAGGCAUCCAGUGCUUUGGGGAAGCUUAGGACUGUUAAAACAGAAUGAAAAGAGAAAGAUCCAAUGUUCAGCUUUUGAAUUCCAAAAUAGGACUUCUGAUCUGCAGUAAGAUAAUUGUCUCAAAAGAUGGGGUUUUUUUGGAUAAACUUUUGAAUUGAGUAUAACUUACUGACAAAAAAAUGCGCAAAUCAUGUGUCCAGCUUGAUACAUUUUUACAAAGUGAACACACUUGUGCAAACAUUAUCUAGAUCAAGAUAAAGAGCAUUACCAGCACCCCAGAGUUUCCCUGGCCCUUCCAGUCAUUACUCUCCAUAGAACUUAACCUCUAGUCUUAACUUAUAUCACCAUAGAUUCGUUUUGCCUAUGUUUGAACUUUACAUAAAAUGACUCACUCAGUAUGUGAUUUUAAUGUCUGGCUUCUUCCUCUCAAAAUUAGGUUUGAGAUUUAUCCAUAUUAUUAGUGUUCAAUUUGUACAAUUUAAUUAAUAUAUAAUGUUUCAUUUUAUAAAUAUACCACAGUUUAUUUCUCAAACAGUGAAUGAAAAUUCCAGACGGCAAUACUUAAAAUUGUGACUUUUUUCCAUUUUAGCUAUUUUGUUGGGUGCAUAGUGAAUGGUAUCUUACUGUGGUUUUCAUUUGCAGUUCCCUAGUGACAAAUGAUGUUGACCACUUUUCACAUAUUUAUUGUCAUUUAUAUAUCUUCCUUUAUAAAAUGCUUAUUC